GUGAAUUCUCCCGAUUACCACAGUGUCCUAGGCCCAUCUUCAGGUGCUUCAUCAAUCAUUUUCCUUCCAUGAAAAGCUGUACACUGGAUAAAUCAGGAUUUACAGCAGCCUGACACUCUUGCUGUCGCAAAAGGAGACUCGAUCCUAUUAAAUUGUUCCUAUUUCAUGCCUGAUCUAUCAAGAUUUAAGGUUUGGUGGAUUUUCUCCAAUGAUGGAUCACGUUCUCCAAAGAUAAUCGCAAAUCUAUCAACCAUUAAUCCUUGGGUGUCUCAUUCUCGAUAUUGCAUAAGGCACAAUUCUACACUGAAGACAUUCACCUUAACAAUUACCGAUGUUCAAGUUGGUGACAAUGGAAUCUACUACUGUAAGGUGUUUCGGAUGGCACCGCCACCAAGUUUUAAAGCACAAGGAAAAGGCACCCUGCUGAAUGUUAUAGCUUGUCCUUCUCUUUGGGUCCUGAAAUCUUCCGAUGAGGUCGCUUCUUCAUCUUCAAUUAUUAUCACAUGUUUAGCAUAUGGGUUUUAUCCAAAUAUUAUAACAUUGUGGAUACAACCAACAUGUCUCACCAAGCAGCUCAUCAGUACAAGCAAUUCAUCCAAUCCCAAUGGCACUUAUAACUACACAAUAACUGUUAGCAUCUCAACUGAAAAUUGCAGCAAAGCCACUAAAUUCACUUGUAUCAUUCAACAUCCAGCG
Molecule: long non-coding RNA, 696 nt
Organism: Pristis pectinata (smalltooth sawfish)
Lineage: Eukaryota; Metazoa; Chordata; Chondrichthyes; Rhinopristiformes; Pristidae
Exons: 3
Source: RefSeq, a predicted model, not a curated record